Molecule: ribosomal RNA, 301 nt
Filed under: uncultured bacterium
Lineage: Bacteria
Description: partial 16S ribosomal RNA
Rfam family: Bacterial small subunit ribosomal RNA
Source: RNAcentral
CAGUAGCCGCGGGAAUACGUAGGUCCCGAGCGUUGUCCGGAUUUAUUGGGCGUAAAGCGAGCGCAGGCGGUUAGAUAAGUCUGAAGUUAAAGGCUGUGGCUUAACCAUAGUACGCUUUGGAAACUGUUUAACUUGAGUGCAAGAGGGGAGAGUGGAAUUCCAUGUGUAGCGGUGAAAUGCGUAGAUAUAUGGAGGAACACCGGUGGCGAAAGCGGCUCUCUGGCUUGUAACUGACGCUGAGGCUCGAAAGCGUGGGGAGCAAACAGGAUUAGAGACCCCAGUAGUCCCUGUCUCUUAUACA